Long non-coding RNA from Neofelis nebulosa (Clouded leopard), 2316 nucleotides. RefSeq lists it as uncharacterized. The transcript has 2 exons. The record is from RefSeq and is a predicted model, not a curated record. Lineage: Eukaryota; Metazoa; Chordata; Mammalia; Carnivora; Felidae.
AUGUUUAGAACUAUUACCUGAAUAUUAAGGCUAUAUUCUAAAGCCCAGGCAGUACAAGAGCAAUGCAGGAAGCCCCUGAACUCUCUCCCUCCCAUGGACACCCUUAAGCUACAACUAUGUGUGAACCACAUUUCCUCCAACGGAGACCUGAAGACUAGCUGAGCAACCCCUUCAUUAUCAAACAAGAAAAAGGCCUGACUGAAGAUGGUAGGAGAGUCUGAGAACUAAUUCUGCCAUAAACCUGGCCCAAGGCACACAACCCACAAUUGGGAGGGAAUUUAUAAACCCAGAACCUCUCCUUGGGGAACGAAGGGCUCAUACUUCAAAUAGGACUCACCAGCUUUUCAGACGUAUGCCUGAGAUGAGCCUCCAAAACAUCUGCCUAUGGAAACUAAUGGUGUGCUCACAUUCAAGAGACCCAAAGGGCCGUGGAGAACUGAGGCACGGCUCUUGAAGGGCUUAAAUGGACUCACUUGCCACAGGAUCCAGUGCACAAGCAGCACUCUGAAAAGCAGACUUCACGUGAAACAUUCACUUGCUAGCUUUAAUGCAUCAUGUGGAGGCACAUGCUGGACUGUUCUCUGGGAUGGAGGCUGGUGGGUGCCAUCUUCGCAUUCCUCCUCUGCUGAGCUCCAAAGUGCCAGUAUCUCCUGGAAGGGAGCCUUUACACUUACAUUUUAAAGUUGCUGCCCAGGGAUGCCCUUUGGCUCUGGAGCCAGAGGGUCUUAUAUUCCUGGGUCCCAUGGGACUGGGACAACUGGGAGAUGGUUCUUGGCUAACUACCACCUACAGUGUACCGCACAGAUAGUGGACUGAAACAGGACUUUUUGUCCAGGAGCUCUGGCCUCAGGAGAAAGCUUCUGGUCUGGCAUGUAUCUAGGAGUCUGUGGCUGAGAAGCCUCUUUGCACUCUCCCCCUGCUUUCCCCAGCUUGAUGGCCUAUCCCCAAAUGGAGUUUGUACCUUUGUCCAGCACCCCAGUUUUUGCAGCUGCUGCAGGGGACACCUGUACAUUGUAUGGCUCUGGUGGCCAACAGGGCAAGGCUGAUGGGUCCCACAGGACAGAAAUCAAUGGAGAAGCAGCUACCUCCAGGGCACAGCAAGAGACAGCAGAUCCAAGAGCUCAGUCUUCCAGUGAAAGAGGUCUUAGUUUAUCAUCAUGGCUACAGCCGGAGGGGCAGGCUUCUAAUUAAAACACACAUCUAAGGAUUAGUUAUCAGAGGCCUCAGAGGGCAGGUGCUCUGUGCUCUCACUCUGCCUGUUCCAGAGCACCAACAUCUCUAGGAGGGGAGUUCUCACACCCUGUUUGGAAACCAGACCCUCAGGCAGCAGCUUUCAAUCAUCCUGAAUUUAGGUGGCGAGAGAUUCCCCUUUGGUACACUGACAGGUCUUGGCACAUCCUCAGCUACCAGGAGCUCUUAAAAAUAGUCUGCUUGGACAACCACAAGUUUGAGAAACAAAUGAUAGGGCAAGGUUGAAUGAAAAGGUUUAUCUUCAACAUUGGGAGAGGUGGCUGUUUCAUCUAAAGCACAGAAACCAACAAAGAGGAAAAAAAAAAAAGAAACAGGAAUAUGUUCCAAAUGAAAGAAUUAAGAUAAAACCUUGGAAAAAUACCUCAGUGAAAUGGAGAUAAAUAAUCUACUUGAUAAAGAGCUCAAACUAUGGCCAUGAAGAUGCUCACCAAAAUUGGAAGAAUGGAUGAACACAGAAGUUGGAAAAAAAAAAAAAAGUACCAAAUAGAAAUCACAAAGCUAAAGGAUACAAUAACAGAACUGAAAAAUUAGAGGGGUUUUCCAGCAGACAAGAUGAAGCAGAAGAAAGGAUCACUGAUCUUAAAGACAGGGUAUUAGAAUUCACCCACAGCGCAGGGGCGGGGGAGGGGGAAGCUUAAGAGACUUAGAGGAAAAUAUCAACUAACAUUCACAUGACAGGGAUCCCAGAAGAGACAGAAAGGGGCUGAAAACCUAGAAGAGGAACCCAACAUCCAGAAGCAGGAAGCCCAGAGAGAAUUCCAAAUAAAAUGAACCAAAAGAGACCCACACCAAAACACUAAUUGUCAAAAGUUAAAGACCAGGAUAAAAGCAGCCAAGAGAGGAACUUCUUAUAUACAAAAGAACCCCCAUACAAUAAUUAGCAGAUUUUACAGCAGGACUUUGCAGGCCAGAAAGGAGUGGCAUGAGAGAGUGCAAGUGCUGAAAGAAAAAGACUUCCAAUCAAGAAAGAAUAUACACUCUUGCAAAGUUAUCUUUCAGAACUAAAGGAGAAAGAGUAUUCCAGAACAACAAAAGCUAAAGGAAUCUGUCACCAUUAACUGGCCU